GAUGAACGCUGGCGGGCGUGCCUAAUACAUGCAAGUCGGACGGAGCGCUUCGGCGCUCAGUGGCGAACGGGUGAGUAGCACAUGGGCAACCUGCCCUUCAGAGGGGGACAACAGCUGGAAACGGCUGCUAAUACCGCAUAAGCCCACGGAACCGCAUGGUUCAGAGGGAAAAGGAGCAAUUCGCUUUGGGAUGGACUCGCGUCCGAUUAGCUAGAUGGUGAGGUAACGGCCCACCAUGGCGACGAUCGGUAGCCGGACUGAGAGGUUGAUCGGCCACAUUGGGACUGAGACACGGCCCAG
This 300-nucleotide ribosomal RNA is filed under the name uncultured bacterium. RNAcentral's name for it is "bacterial SSU rRNA". It matches the Rfam family "Bacterial small subunit ribosomal RNA", at positions 28 to 334 of the family's 1533-position model. The record is from RNAcentral.